RNAcentral lists this ribosomal RNA (253 nucleotides) under uncultured prokaryote. RNAcentral describes it as "partial 16S ribosomal RNA". It matches the Rfam family "Bacterial small subunit ribosomal RNA", at positions 524 to 776 of the family's 1533-position model. The record is from RNAcentral.
UACGUAGGGAGCGAGCGUUGUCCGGAGUUACUGGGCGUAAAGCGCACGCAGGCGGUCUGUCGCGUUCGUGCCGACAGCGACUCGCCUAACGAGUCGAGGAGUACGGAAACGGGCAGACUUGAGGGCCACAGAGGGACACGGAACUCCGGGUGGAGUGGUGAAAUGCGUAGAGAUCCGGAAGAACACCAAAGGCGAAGGCAGUGUCCUGGGUGGCACCUGACGCUCAGAGGCGACAGCUAGGGGAGCGAACGGG